UACGUAGGGGGCUAGCGUUGUCCGGAUUUAUUGGGCGUAAAGCGCGUGUAGGCGGCCAGGUAGGUCCGCUGUGAAAACUCGAGGCUCAACCUCGAGAUGUCGGCGGAAACCAUCUGGCUAGAGUCCGGAAGAGGAGAGUGGAAUUCCCGGUGUAGCGGUGAAAUGCGCAGAUAUCGGGAAGAACACCCGUGGCGAAAGCGGCAUACUGGGCAUUUUCUGACGCUGAGGAACGAAAGCUAGGGUAGCGAACGGG
This 253-nucleotide ribosomal RNA is filed under the name uncultured bacterium. RNAcentral's name for it is "partial 16S ribosomal RNA". It matches the Rfam family "Bacterial small subunit ribosomal RNA", at positions 524 to 776 of the family's 1533-position model. The record is from RNAcentral.